RNAcentral lists this small nuclear RNA (124 nucleotides) under Mesocricetus auratus (golden hamster). RNAcentral's name for it is "U1 spliceosomal RNA (ENSMAUG00000004397.1)". It matches the Rfam family "U1 spliceosomal RNA", at positions 1 to 130 of the family's 166-position model. From Rfam's summary of the family: U1 is a small nuclear RNA (snRNA) component of the spliceosome (involved in pre-mRNA splicing). Its 5' end forms complementary base pairs with the 5' splice junction, thus defining the 5' donor site of an intron. There are significant differences in sequence and secondary structure between metazoan and yeast U1 snRNAs, the latter being much longer (568 nucleotides as compared to 164 nucleotides in human). The record is from RNAcentral. Lineage: Eukaryota; Metazoa; Chordata; Mammalia; Rodentia; Cricetidae.
AUACUUACCUGCCAGGGGAGAUACCAUGAUCACGAAGGUGGUUUUCCCAGGUGAGGAUAAUUUAUUGUACUCCAGAUAUGCUAAACCCUGAGGGACUGUGUUCAUGCUUUCCCCUGGGAAAUGA